GUGGGAACUUCAUUACCGCUAUCAUCAUAUGAUGAUAAACAGUAAUAGACAGCCUCAUCUUCAGUCUGAGUUCUGGUGAUGGUCAGGGUGGCUGUUGUCCCUGAGCUGGAUCCAGAGAAUCUCUCUGGGAUCCCUGAGGGUCGCUUAGUAUCCUCGUAUAUUACCCGGAGAGGGGUCUGUCCUGGGUGCUGCUGCUGGAACCAGUAUGCAUAAUACUUUGAGAGUUUAUCUCCAGAGCAAGUGAUUGUGGCUGUCUGUCCCAGGGCUACUGAGACUGAGGGUGGCUGAGUCAGCUCAUAGGAGACCACAGAACCUGCAAGAGAAGAGAGAGAUGAAGGAACC
This 342-nucleotide long non-coding RNA is filed under the name Marmota monax (woodchuck). The record is from RNAcentral. Lineage: Eukaryota; Metazoa; Chordata; Mammalia; Rodentia; Sciuridae.